UCAGCCCCGUGCAGGGGUAAUUGGAAAAGUGGGGGAACCUUGAGGACAGAAGAGGAGAGUGGAAUUCCACGUGUAGCGGUGAAAUGCGUAGAUAUGUGGAGGAACACCAGUGGCGAAGGCGACUCUCUGGUCUGUUUCUGACGUUGAGGUGCGAAAGCGUGGGUAGCAAACAGGAUUAGAUACCCUGGUAGUCCACUCCGUAAACGAUGAGAGCUAGGUGUUAGGGGGCUUCCACCCCUUAGUGCUGAAGUUAACGCAUUAAGCACUCCGCCUGGGGAGUACGGCCGCAAGGCUGAAACUCAAAGGAAUUGACGGGGGCCCGCACAAGCGGUGGAGCAUGUGGUUUAAUUCGAAGCAACGCGAAGAACCUUACCAGGUCUUGACAUCCUUGGACAAUCCUAGAGAUAGGACUUUCCCUUCGGGGACCAAGUGACAGGUGGGGCAUGGUAGUCGUCAGCUCGUGUCGUGAGAUGUUGGGUUAAGUCCCGCAACGAGCGCAAUCCCUAAUCUUAGUUGCCAGCAUUCAGUUGGGCACUCUAAGGUCUCUGCCGGUGACAAACCGGAGGAAGGCGGGGAUGACGUCAAAUCAUCACUUCCACCUUAUGACCUGGGCUACACACGUGAUACAAUGGAUGGUACAAAGGGCAGCGAAUUCAGGCCUAACACAUGCAAGUCAAAAGCCGUCUCAGUUCAGAUUGUACUCCUGUAACUUCGAGUACAUGAAGGUGGAAUCGCUAGAAUCGUGAUAUAGCACAGAAAUCCCCUUACUCUCUGGGGAGAAUAAUUAUUCUUUAUUUUUUCUCCCUCCCG
This 810-nucleotide ribosomal RNA is filed under the name Halobacillus trueperi. RNAcentral describes it as "bacterial SSU rRNA". It matches the Rfam family "Bacterial small subunit ribosomal RNA", at positions 603 to 1361 of the family's 1533-position model. Lineage: Bacteria; Bacillati; Bacillota; Bacilli; Caryophanales; Bacillaceae. The record is from RNAcentral.